This 326-nucleotide ribosomal RNA is filed under the name uncultured cercomonad. RNAcentral's name for it is "SSU rRNA". The stretch from base 109 to 326 matches the Rfam family "Eukaryotic small subunit ribosomal RNA", at positions 736 to 955 of the family's 1831-position model. The record is from RNAcentral. Lineage: Eukaryota; Cercozoa; Cercomonadida; Cercomonadidae. RNAcentral also lists the same sequence under 1 other name.
GAUUUCUGGUUCGGCGCACUUAGCCCGUCUCGGUUUACGGGAUUGUGUGCUGGCGUGCGCCAUCCAUCCUUCGAUGUAGAUCGCUACUGCCCUUUACUGGGUCUGUGGCGGUUCUCUCGAUCUUUUACUUUGAAAAAAUUAGAGUGUUUAAAGCAGGCUUGCGCUAUGAAUACAUUAGCAUGGAAUAAUAAUUUAGGACUUUGGUCUUAUUUUGUUGGUUUCUAGGACUAAAGUAAUGAUUGAUAGGGACAGUUGGGGGUGCUAGUAUUCAGCGGCCAGAGGUGAAAUUCUUGGAUUCGCUGAAGACUAACUUAUGCGAAAGCAUU